Molecule: non-coding RNA, 21 nt
Filed under: Caenorhabditis elegans
Lineage: Eukaryota; Metazoa; Nematoda; Chromadorea; Rhabditida; Rhabditidae
Source: RNAcentral
UUAAUAAAAUGAAAACUAUCA